AGAAUCAACGCUGGCGGCGUGCCUAACACAUGCAAGUCGAACGAGAAAGUGGAGCAAUCCAUGAGUAAAGUGGCGCACGGGUGAGUAACACGUGACUAACCUACCCUUGAGUGGGGAAUAACUUCGGGAAACCGAGGCUAAUACCGCAUAACACCUACGGGUCAAAGGAGCAAUUCGCUUAAGGAGGGGUCGCGGCAGAUUAGUUAGUUGGCGGGGUAAUGGCCCACCAAGACGGUGAUCUGUA
Molecule: ribosomal RNA, 244 nt
Filed under: uncultured bacterium
Lineage: Bacteria
Description: partial small subunit ribosomal RNA
Rfam family: Bacterial small subunit ribosomal RNA
Source: RNAcentral